UUUGGUGUUUUGAGUGUUUUGGAGCUUGCACUUUGUGCAUGUAGAUACAAACUUGUGUGUUCUGGACCAUCUGAACUCUCUCAUAGUCACCAAUAGUCUUUAUCUUUUUGUGACUUGUGUGUUCUAGAUGAUUGUUAAGAUGGUCAAAACUAUGCUUCCUCUAGGUUAAUUUUUUUGUCAACUUGCGUUCAAUGUAUGUGCAUGUUUAUAAACAUAUUUUCAUUGUAG
Molecule: long non-coding RNA, 228 nt
Filed under: Hordeum vulgare
Lineage: Eukaryota; Viridiplantae; Streptophyta; Magnoliopsida; Poales; Poaceae
Description: long non-coding RNA (HVUL_LNC003787)
Source: RNAcentral